This 360-nucleotide RNase P RNA is filed under the name Desulfarculales bacterium. RNAcentral describes it as "RNase P RNA component class A". It matches the Rfam family "Bacterial RNase P class A". From Rfam's summary of the family: Ribonuclease P (RNase P) is a ubiquitous endoribonuclease, found in archaea, bacteria and eukarya as well as chloroplasts and mitochondria. Its best characterised activity is the generation of mature 5'-ends of tRNAs by cleaving the 5'-leader elements of precursor-tRNAs. Cellular RNase Ps are ribonucleoproteins. The record is from RNAcentral. Lineage: Bacteria; Pseudomonadati; Thermodesulfobacteriota; Desulfarculia; Desulfarculales.
CAAGCAGACCGGACGGCCGCCGGCCUGGCAUAAAGGCGGGAGGAAAGUCCGAGCACCAAGGGCAAGAUGCUGGCUAACCGCCAGGGGGGGGAAACCCCACGGAAAGUGCCACAGAAAAUAAACCGCCGGGAUUACCGGCAAGGGUGAAAAGGUGAGGUAAGAGCUCACCAGCUUAAACGGCGACGUUUAAGGCUGGUAAACCCCAUCCGGUGCAAGACCAAAUAGAGGGGCGAUUUAAAAGCGGCCCGCUUAAGCCCCAGGGUAGGUCGCUGGAGACGCCGGGCAACCGGCGCCCUAGAUUAAUGGCCGUCGCCCGUUGACAAAUGGGAACAGAACUCGGCUUACAGGUCUGCUUGCCAC